This 85-nucleotide transfer RNA is filed under the name Felis catus (domestic cat). It matches the Rfam family "tRNA". Rfam says of the family: Transfer RNA (tRNA) molecules are approximately 80 nucleotides in length. Their secondary structure includes four short double-helical elements and three loops (D, anti-codon, and T loops). The record is from Rfam by way of RNAcentral. Lineage: Eukaryota; Metazoa; Chordata; Mammalia; Carnivora; Felidae.
GCCUGGGUGGCUCAGUCGGUUGAGUGUCUGACUUCAGCUCAGGUCAUGAUCUCAUGGCUCCUGAGUUCAAGCCCCACCUCAGGCU